GACUCCGUAGCUCAGCUGGUAGAGCAACAGACUCUUAAUCUGUGGGUCGUGGGUUCGAUCCCCACCGGGGUCA
Molecule: transfer RNA, 73 nt
Filed under: Culturomica sp.
Lineage: Bacteria; Pseudomonadati; Bacteroidota; Bacteroidia; Bacteroidales; Odoribacteraceae
Description: tRNA-Lys
Rfam family: tRNA
About the family: Transfer RNA (tRNA) molecules are approximately 80 nucleotides in length. Their secondary structure includes four short double-helical elements and three loops (D, anti-codon, and T loops).
Source: RNAcentral